AUUGAACGCUGGCGGCAGGCCUAACACAUGCAAGUCGAGCGGAUGAAGGGAGCUUGCUCCUGGAUUCAGCGGCGGACGGGUGAGUAAUGCCUAGGAAUCUGCCUGGUAGUGGGGGAUAACGUCCGGAAACGGGCGCUAAUACCGCAUACGUCCUGAGGGAGAAAGUGGGGGAUCUUCGGACCUCACGCUAUCAGAUGAGCCUAGGUCGGAUUAGCUAGUUGGUGGGGUAAAGGCCUACCAAGGCGACGAUCCGUAACUGGUCUGAGAGGAUGAUCAGUCACACUGGAACUGAGACACGGUCCAGACGCCUACGGGAGGCAGCAGUGGGGAAUAUUGGACAAUGGGCGAAAGCCUGAUCCAGCCAUGCCGCGUGUGUGAAGAAGGUCUUCGGAUUGUAAAGCACUUUAAGUUGGGGGGAAGGGCAGUAAGUUAAUACCUUGCUGUUUUGACGUUACCAACAGAAUAAGCACCGGCUAACUUCGUG
This 484-nucleotide ribosomal RNA is filed under the name uncultured bacterium. RNAcentral describes it as "partial 16S ribosomal RNA". It matches the Rfam family "Bacterial small subunit ribosomal RNA", at positions 30 to 507 of the family's 1533-position model. The record is from RNAcentral.